GUGUCCCCACGGGCUGUCCCCGUCCCGGAGGAGGCAGCGGAGCGGGGCCAGGAGACGCUGGAGCGGCUGCUGGCCUGGGUGGCCGACAUGGAGGAGCUGGUGAGCAACCAGAAGCCGCCGUCGGCGGAGGCGAAGGUGGUGAAGGCGCAGCUGGAGGAGCAGAAGGUCAGCAGGGCCGGCCGGCGGGUCCUGCCCACGCGUGCCCCGUCCGGGAUUAGGGGGCCGGGGUUGGAGCGGCCGCCCGGGGCUGUGCCGAGCCGGGAGGGGUGCACGGGAGCCCCCGGCACAGCGCGGUGUCCCCGCAGCUCCUGAAGCGCCUGCUGGAGGAACGGAGGCCACGCGUGGAGCUCGUCCUGCAGGACAGACUGACGGCACAGGGCUCUGGCACCGCCGCGCCCGAGGGCAGCGCCGGCCUCCUCAGCCUCGGCGAGAGGUGGGACAAGCUGAUGCAGGAGGCUGAGGCCAGGUACGGCUGCCUGGAGCGGAUCCUGCCCGCAGCCCAGGGCUUCCAGGAGGCCGUAGACGCCUUCCAGGAGUGGCUCGGUGCCACAGAGCGGCAGCUGGCCCAGCUCUGGCGCGCUGACGGCUGCGUCGGCCGCGUGCAGGACGCCCACCAGCAGACCCAGGUGGGCACAGGGUGGGCGCGGGGUGGGCGCAGGGCGGGCACGGGCACCUGUGUCAUCACUGGUCACUGCUGCAGGCCCUCUGUGAGGAGAUCCGUGGGUGGCUGGGAGAGCUGGAUGGUGCCCUGGAGAGCGGACAGCGGGUCCUGGAGAUGGUGACAGGGGAGGAGGCCCAGCUGACACAGGAGAAGAUGGAAUCGCUGAGGAUGAGGUACCUCAUCGUGGGCCAGAGCAGUGCUGACACCGCACACCGGCUGGGACAGACCCUGGAGGCCUCGUCUCGCCUGGGCACGGCCCCUGAGGACCUGGCACUGUGGCUGAGCCGCAUGGAGAAGGAGCUGGGCGAGCAGGAGAGCCAGCAGGAUGGCCAGGAGCCCUCAGUCACUGCCAGUGACAGGGAGAAGUUUGAGCAGGUCCUGGAGUCCCAGCUCAGCCGUGUGGCUGGGCUGGGUGAGCGACUGGAGGAGAUCGGCCGCGUGCAGCUGGAUGCCGAGGCUCUGCGCUCGCAGCUCUCCGAGCAGAAGGUGGGUCUGCAGCAGCGUCCAGGGCUGCCGGGGGCACUGCCUUGCUGUCCCCAUCCCACCGGCUCCUGCCGGGACCCGGCACCCACCUGCGGCUCCGUUGCAGCUGCUCUCCGCCGAGAUCCUGCACUGCCGGGGCCUGGUUGAGCGUCUGCUGAGCUUCUCGGAGCCGCUGCUGCGCUGCUGCCCCGAGCCCCUGCGGCAGCGCCUUCAGGUGAGCCGGGAGGGCGCCGGGGGGACGUGGCCAGCGCCCAGGGACGGCUGUGGCCCGUGUCCCCGGCCACGCGGUGACCUCUGUCUCCUCAGCCGUCCGUGCAGGCGCUGCGGGAGCGCACGGAGCAGCUCUCCCUGCGCAGCGGAGCCUGUGCCGUGCAGCUGGAGCACGCCCAGUCCCUGCUCACCCAGUUCUCCGAGGCCCUCGAGGAGCUGCUGCCCUGGCUGGAGGAGACGCAGGCCCUGGGCGUGCAGCUCUCCCCCAACGCCAUCAGCUACGAGGCCUUCAAGGAGCAGCAGGCGCUGCUGCAGAGCCUGCGGGAGGCCAUCGCCGAGCACCGGCCGCUGGUGGGGAAGCUGCAGCGCGUGUCGGCGCAGCUGCUGGAGCUGA
This is a long non-coding RNA of Parus major (Great Tit), 1748 nucleotides long. The record is from Ensembl. NCBI's taxonomy places the organism in Eukaryota, Metazoa, Chordata, Aves, Passeriformes, Paridae.